CUCCCAUAAUGCAUUGUACAAGAGAUAGAAUGUCAUGUUUCAGCUUCCCUUUCAAUAUAUUGUAUUCCCAGACUUUCAAAACACUUCAGCAAUCUAGUUUUUUGUCAUAUAAAAACUUCUAUCGUUUAAAUAUUGUAGCGGCACCAACUAAAAGUCAAAUAAACGAGCUGCCGGACUAUUUUGGGCAGUGAAAACAUUCUGAAUUUGAAUGAAAC
Molecule: non-coding RNA, 215 nt
Organism: Pelobates cultripes (western spadefoot toad)
Lineage: Eukaryota; Metazoa; Chordata; Amphibia; Anura; Pelobatidae
Source: the annotation of a GenBank genome assembly